RNAcentral lists this ribosomal RNA (864 nucleotides) under uncultured Methanocella sp. Its description in RNAcentral is "bacterial SSU rRNA". It matches the Rfam family "Archaeal small subunit ribosomal RNA", at positions 1 to 872 of the family's 1478-position model. Lineage: Archaea; Methanobacteriati; Methanobacteriota; Methanomicrobia; Methanocellales; Methanocellaceae. The record is from RNAcentral.
UUCCGGUUGAUCCCGCCGGAGGUCACUGCUAUCGGUGUCCGAUUAAGCCAUGCGAGUCGAGAGGUGUAAGACCUCGGCAGACUGCUCAGUAACACGUGGAUAACCUGCCCAAGGGUCCGGGAUAACCCCGGGAAACUGGGGAUAAUACCGGAUGGGUCACCAGUGCUGGAAUGCUUGGUGGUCGAAAGGUGACGCCUUUGGAUGGGUCUGCGGCGGAUUAGGUUGACGCCGGUGUAACGUACCGGCGUGCCUGUAAUCCGUACGGGUUGUGGGAGCAAGAGCCCGGAGAUGGAUUCUGAGACACGAAUCCAGGCCCUACGGGGCGCAGCAGGCGCGAAAACUCUACAAUGCAGGCAACUGCGAUAGGGGGACAUCGAGUGGCAUCCACCUUGGGUGUCUGUCCAACCGUCUAAAAAACGGUUGUUAGCAAGGGCCGGGCAAGACCGGUGCCAGCCGCCGCGGUAAUACCGGCGGCUCGAGUGGUGGCCGAUAUUAUUGAGUCUAAAGGGUCCGUAGCCGGCUUUGCAAGUCCCCUGGGAAAUCCGGCGGCUUAACCGUUGGGCUUUCAUGGGAUACUACAUUGCUUGGGACUGGGAGAGGUAGGAGGUACUCGGGGGGUAGGGGUGAAAUCCUGUAAUCCUCCGGGGACCACCGGUGGCGAAGGCGUCCUACCAGAACAGGUCCGACGGUGAGGGACGAAAGCUAGGGGCACGAACCGGAUUAGAUACCCGGGUAGUCCUAGCCGUAAACGAUGCCCGCUAGGUGUCACGACGGUCGUGAAUCGUCGUGGUGCCGUAGGGAAGCCGCGAAGCGGGCCACUUGGGAAGUACGGCCGCAAGGCUGAAACUUAAAGGAAUUGGCGGG